GGGGCUAUGGCGCAGUUGGUAGCGCGCUUCCAUGGCAUGGAAGAGGUCACGAGUUCGAAUCUCGUUAGCUCCA
Molecule: transfer RNA, 73 nt
Filed under: Propionicimonas sp.
Lineage: Bacteria; Bacillati; Actinomycetota; Actinomycetes; Propionibacteriales; Nocardioidaceae
Also listed under: 1 other name
Description: tRNA-Ala
Rfam family: tRNA
About the family: Transfer RNA (tRNA) molecules are approximately 80 nucleotides in length. Their secondary structure includes four short double-helical elements and three loops (D, anti-codon, and T loops).
Source: RNAcentral